RNAcentral lists this long non-coding RNA (661 nucleotides) under Mus pahari (shrew mouse). RNAcentral describes it as "lncRNA (MGP_PahariEiJ_G0004996.1)". Lineage: Eukaryota; Metazoa; Chordata; Mammalia; Rodentia; Muridae. The record is from RNAcentral.
AGAAUUCAGGCCAACAAAACUCCAUCUGUGAAUUCCUUCUUCUCCUUAGCCUGCAAAUAUGUUAAAGACCCAGCCAACCAGCCAGCCAGCCAACCAGCAAAAAGCCCAACAAAGCAAAAGAAAGAAAGAGAUUUAUUUAUUUAUUUUAUUUAUGUGAGCACACUGCCGCUGUCUUCAGACACACCACAAGAGAGCAUCGGAUCCCACUACAGAUGGUUGUGAGCCACCAUGUGGUUACUGAGAAUUGAACUCAGGACCUCUGGAAGAGCACCCAGUGCUCUUAACCACUGAGCCAUCUCUCCAGCCCCACCCUGACCCCCACUUCAUGUAUUUUGUCCAUUAAUCCAUUGCUGUUUUGGAUGGAUUCUCAAAGGAUCAGGUCCUUGGUGUGAUGAUGGUGAGAGAGGAUGGGCCUUCAGAGCUGAUUAUAUCUUGAAGGUGGAUUAAUACUUUUCUCCAAGAUCACAUUCUUCUUGUUGUGAGAUGUUACAUAGGAGCUGACUGUUAGAGACAAGUCAUCCCAUGUGUUUGGCCCAUUUUAUAUGUUCCUUGGUUUAUCAUAUGCUUUUCUUUCAAGUGGUCACACAGUGUGUGUGUGUGUGUGUGUGUGUGUGUGUGUGUGUGUGUGUGUGUUGGAACCAUGCUUUUUGGAUCUUCCAGU